GUGGGGAAUAUUGCACAAUGGGCGCAAGCCUGAUGCAGCAACGCCGCGUGAGGGACGACGGCCUUCGGGUUGUAAACCUCUUUUAGCAGGGAAGAAGCGAAAGUGACGGUACCUGCAGAAAAAGCACCGGCUAACUACGUGCCAGCAGCCGCGGUAAUACGUAGGGUGCAAGCGUUGUCCGGAAUUAUUGGGCGUAAAGAGCUCGUAGGCGGUUUGUCGCGUCUGCUGUGAAAACCCGAGGCUCAACCUCGGGCCUGCAGUGGGUACGGGCAGACUAGAGUGCGGUAGGGGAGAUUGGAAUUCCUGGUGUAGCGGUGGAAUGCGCAGAUAUCAGGAGGAACACCGAUGGCGAAGGCAGAUCUCUGGGCCGUAACUGACGCUGAGGAGCGAAAGCAUGGGGAGCGAACAGGAUUAGAAACCCGAGUAGUCC
This 430-nucleotide ribosomal RNA is filed under the name uncultured bacterium. Its description in RNAcentral is "bacterial SSU rRNA". It matches the Rfam family "Bacterial small subunit ribosomal RNA", at positions 354 to 796 of the family's 1533-position model. The record is from RNAcentral.